CAAGUCGAACGGGAUCGGCUGGAGCUUGCUCCGGCCGUGAGAGUGGCGAACGGGUGAGUAAUGCGUGACCGACCUGCCCCGUACACCGGAAUAGCUCCUGGAAACGGGUGGUAAUGCCGGAUGCUCCAGUCCAUCGCAUGGUGGUCUGGGAAAGAUUUUAUCGGUAUGGGAUGGGGUCGCGUCCUAUCAGGUAGUCGGCGGGGUAACGGCCCACCGAGCCUACGACGGGUAGCCGGCCUGAGAGGGCGACCGGCCACAUUGGGACUGAGAUACGGCCCAGACUCC
Molecule: ribosomal RNA, 285 nt
Filed under: uncultured Bifidobacterium sp.
Lineage: Bacteria; Bacillati; Actinomycetota; Actinomycetes; Bifidobacteriales; Bifidobacteriaceae
Also listed under: 1 other name
Description: partial 16S ribosomal RNA
Rfam family: Bacterial small subunit ribosomal RNA
Source: RNAcentral